Dipodomys ordii (Ord's kangaroo rat) is the source of this 337-nucleotide non-coding RNA. The record is from Rfam. Lineage: Eukaryota; Metazoa; Chordata; Mammalia; Rodentia; Heteromyidae.
GGAUGUGAGGGCGAUCUGGCUGCGACAUCUGUCACCUCAUUGAUUGCCAGGGUUGAUUCGGCUGAUCUGGCUGGCUAGGCGGGUGUCCCCCUCCUCCCUCACCGCUCCAUGUGCGUCCCUCCCGAAGCUGCGCACUCUGUCGAAGAGGACGACCAUCCCUGAUAGAGGAGGACCGGUCUUCGGUCAAGGGAAUACGAGUAGCUGCCCUCCCCUGCUAGAACCUCCAAACAAGCUCUCAAGAAAGCUACUGACUUUUGUGCAUUGAUUUUAUACCCUGUUAUUUUUCCAAAGUUUUUAAUCAGCUUUAGGAGCUUGCGGGAGAAGUAUCUAGGGUCCU